RNAcentral lists this ribosomal RNA (478 nucleotides) under uncultured bacterium. RNAcentral's name for it is "partial 16S ribosomal RNA". It matches the Rfam family "Bacterial small subunit ribosomal RNA", at positions 28 to 523 of the family's 1533-position model. The record is from RNAcentral.
GACGAACGCUGGCGGCGUGCUUAACACAUGCAAGUCGAACGGUAAGGCCCUUCGGGGUACACGAGUGGCGAACGGGUGAGUAACACGUGGGUGAUCUGCCCUGCACUUCGGGAUAAGCCUGGGAAACUGGGUCUAAUACCGGAUAGGACCACUGCCUGCAUGGGUGGUGGUGGAAAGCUUUUGCGGUGUGGGAUGGGCCCGCGGCCUAUCAGCUUGUUGGUGGGGUGAUGGCCUACCAAGGCGACGACGGGUAGCCGGCCUGAGAGGGUGACCGGCCACAGUGGGACUGAGAGACGGCCCAGACUCCUACGGGAGGCAGCAGUGGGGAAUAUUGCACAAUGGGCGCAAGCCUGAUGCAGCGACGCCGCGUGAGGGAUGACGGCCUUCGGGUUGUAAACCUCUUUCAGCACCGACGAAGCGCAAGUGACGGUAGGUGCAGAAGAAGGACCGGCCAACUACGUGCCAGCCGCCGCAGUAA